RNAcentral lists this non-coding RNA (24 nucleotides) under Cricetulus griseus (Chinese hamster). The record is from RNAcentral. Lineage: Eukaryota; Metazoa; Chordata; Mammalia; Rodentia; Cricetidae.
UGGUUGCUGGGACUUGAACUCAGG